UACGAAGGGGGCUAGCGUUGCUCGGAAUCACUGGGCGUAAAGCGCACGUAGGCGGACUCUUAAGUCGGGGGUGAAAUCCUGGAGCUCAACUCCAGAACUGCCUUUGAUACUGGCGAUCUCGAGUCCGGGAGAGGUGAGUGGAACUGCGAGUGUAGAGGUGAAAUUCGUAGAUAUUCGCAAGAACACCAGUGGCGAAGGCGGCUCACUGGCCCGGUACUGACGCUGAGGUGCGAAAGCGUGGGGAGCAAACAGG
RNAcentral lists this ribosomal RNA (253 nucleotides) under uncultured bacterium. RNAcentral describes it as "partial 16S ribosomal RNA". It matches the Rfam family "Bacterial small subunit ribosomal RNA", at positions 524 to 776 of the family's 1533-position model. The record is from RNAcentral.